GAUGAACGCUAGCUACAGGCUUAACACAUGCAAGUCGAGGGACCGGCGCACGGGUGAGUAACACGUAUCCAACCUGCCCUUUACUCGGGGAUAGCCUUUCGAAAGAAAGAUUAAUACCCGAUAUAAAGGAUGGGGAUGCGUUCAAUUAGGUUGUUGGGGAGGUAACGGCCCACCAAGCCUUCGAUGGCUAGGGGUUCUGAGAGGAAGGUCCCCCGCAUUGGAACUGAGACACGGUCCAAACUCGUACGGUAGGCAGAAGGGAUGAGUAUUGUUCAAUGGGCGUUAGCCUGAACCAGCCAAGUAGCGUGAAGGAUGAAGGCUUAUGGGUCGUAAACUUCUUUGAUAUAAGAAUAUGUAUUAUAUGAAUAAGGAUCGGCUAACUCCGUGCCAGCAGCCGCGGUAAUUC
RNAcentral lists this ribosomal RNA (406 nucleotides) under uncultured bacterium. RNAcentral describes it as "partial 16S ribosomal RNA". It matches the Rfam family "Bacterial small subunit ribosomal RNA", at positions 28 to 526 of the family's 1533-position model. The record is from RNAcentral.